RNAcentral lists this ribosomal RNA (332 nucleotides) under uncultured eukaryote. Its description in RNAcentral is "partial 18S ribosomal RNA". It matches the Rfam family "Eukaryotic small subunit ribosomal RNA", at positions 1470 to 1796 of the family's 1831-position model. The record is from RNAcentral.
CCCUUAGAUGUCCUGGGCUGCACGCGCGCUACACUGGAAGUUACGGAUUGAGAUACUACCUUGUCCGAAAUGGUCCGGGUAAUCACCUAAAAGCUUGUCAUAAUUGGAAUGGAUUAUUGUAACUAGUAAUCCUGAACGAGGAAUUCCUAGUAAGUCCCAGUCAACAGCUGGUACUGAUUACGUCCCUGCCCUUUGUACACACCGCCCGUCGCUACUACUGAUUGGACAUUUAAGCAAGAUUUUUAAACACUGACAGUGUGUAGUUCACGCUAUACUACAGUGAGAAGAAGAAGAUCGAGCUUACUUGUCUAGAGGAAGUAAAAGUCGUAACA